Molecule: long non-coding RNA, 317 nt
Filed under: Lathyrus oleraceus (garden pea)
Lineage: Eukaryota; Viridiplantae; Streptophyta; Magnoliopsida; Fabales; Fabaceae
Description: Pisum sativum (pea) long non-coding RNA (PSAT_LNC041577)
Source: RNAcentral
UUCUCUGAACCAAACACAGACGACCCAAAACGGUACCAGGAAUGGUUGGAGGUGCCUUCGGGCCCAAAUGCUCGCCCCAUGCUGGCCUUUUGUUAUUUGGUUAUUUUAUUUUAUUUCUAUUUAUUCAUUUUAAUUCUUUGUUUAUAUGUUUGGGCCACUGCAAGUCUAACAGUAGACAAGUCAUGGCCGAGUGGAGAUGGAGUUAGCUCAUCUCCUUCUUAGUGUUGGGUUUGAUUCCCACUUAUGGCAUUUUGUUUUUUUCUUAGCAUUUGCUUGUUACUUUUUCAUGUUUAUGUCUUAACCUAAUUGCUCUUAUA